This is a small nucleolar RNA of Callithrix jacchus (white-tufted-ear marmoset), 76 nucleotides long. NCBI's taxonomy places the organism in Eukaryota, Metazoa, Chordata, Mammalia, Primates, Cebidae. The record is from Ensembl.
AAAUGAUGAAAUCACCCAAAAUAGCUGGAAUUACCGGCAGAUUGUGUAGUGGUGAAUUGUGUCACUUGGUCUGAGU